UUUCAAGGUUUCCGUAGGUGAACCUGCGGAAGGAUCAUUA
This 40-nucleotide ribosomal RNA is filed under the name Phlyctis boliviensis. RNAcentral describes it as "partial 18S ribosomal RNA". Lineage: Eukaryota; Fungi; Ascomycota; Lecanoromycetes; Phlyctidaceae. The record is from RNAcentral.